Molecule: long non-coding RNA, 1842 nt
Organism: Dermacentor silvarum
Lineage: Eukaryota; Metazoa; Arthropoda; Arachnida; Ixodida; Ixodidae
Exons: 3
Source: RefSeq, a predicted model, not a curated record
UCAAUUUUUGUCUUCUCUUUUUACGCUGGUGUAUUUGUCAGGUCAGCUAGACAGGACAUUAAACUUGGCGGCUCAAUGCGAAGGCAUCUAGCCAGCAAGGAGAACGUGCCAAGUGUUGGGCCACAACAUUCGACGAAGUCAAAUGCUACGUCCAAGGAAAACCAAGCCAACCUCAGCUCUGUUCCAGCAGAUAAGGAGAAUGUGAUGAGGAGCAGCUACAACCUCAGACGAGCAAAACUGUCUUCUGCAAACAAGUAGAUUGCCCACAACUUCAUGCCUCAACCUCUGACCAAGCAGCUUGCAAGCUUGUGAAGCUGAUGCAUCACGUCUCCUGCUGUCACCAAGCUCUCGUGCUGCAUGGCUGAGCAGGCCACGUGAAAAAUGUGUGCUUGGUUUUCCUCUUCCUCUUGUACUCUUCAGAAAAUUUAACGUCAUGGACUGUAUGGAGCUUGUGUUAGUUACCAUGGUUACUAAAAUGUUUUUAAUCAGGCCAAUCCUUGUGUUCUUUCUAAACGCUUGUGAACGCUUUCUAAAAAAAACAUUGGAUCUUUUGAUAUAUAUGAGCACUCUCGUUUUGAACUUGAAUUUACAGCAGUGAACAUUUUUACGUAUAUGGGCAGCACGACACAGACAAGGGACAGUUGUAAGUCAGCGCUCGUGUUGCCCAUUCCUUGUCGCUCGUCUGUGUCGCGCUGCACAUAUACGUAAAAAUGAACUGUGUUCUGUUGUGCGAGAUUUGUGUUAUCAUAAGCAUCUAACUUAUGUCAUGGUUCCAUUGUGUCAUACCUCAUAUUUUCAGCUGUGUUGGUUUCUUUAAGCUCAUAUUCAUACAUUCAUGCUUCAUUCACUGUAUAUGACAUUGUUGGUGACUCAUUAAACACAUCACCAGACUAAGAAUGUCUGUUGUCCUUUGCAUGCAUUCAAAAUUGCAGUGUACUUCUUUUUUGAGACAGAGUAUGUUAGAAGGAAACUUUUUAUGUUGAGUCACAUAGCAUGUGGGAUGCUGCAUACUAGAAGAUUUAGACGUAUGCUGCAGUCAAGUUGUGCGGCAGAGAAAGUUUAGCAGAUCCACAAUUCUUUUUUCUUGUGUGCUCUAGUAGUAAAAUGAAACAGGCCCCUAACUGCAUAAUUCAGUUGUCGCGCUGCUCUUAUUGGGUAGUUUGUAGUUACCAGAAAUAGUCAAGCUGAAAUUUCAUCCAGAUGUCACAGCAUUUAUUAGGUCUAUGAAUUCUACCUUCAUACACCGAUGUCCACAGCGGCUGUGAUGUACCAAUUAGCCAGUAGACCCUUUUCAUAAUGGUAAAGCUAGCUUUCUUGUGAGGCAGUUUAAACAACUAAUGGCAAUGUAGUCAUUUUUACAAACAGCAUCUACAAGCACAGUUUGCUUGUAUUAUGACAUGGAAAAUGUAGGCAUGACUCAUGUUGAAAUCAUGCUCAAGAGAUCAGCCCAAGUGUGUGCAGCUAGCACUUCAUCCUAAUUGGAAAGAUGGUCAGCACUGUCAUUAGUUGGGCUAAUGCGCAUCGCAGAGAAGUGCACUUUCGAGUUGAGAAAAGGGUCUAUUGUCAGGUGGCGUGCAGAUAUCUGUUGCACCAAGCUAGUUUGCAAGUGUCAGUUGGGCAUAUCCCUUUCAGGUGCUAUGUGUGCAAAUGUGCACCCAGGAUAGUAUAUCAAAAUUAAGGUAACUGAUGAAGAUAUUGAAAACAUCCCACAUAGAUGUUGAAACACUUCUGAUCUUAGCUGUGCUUUUAAGUUUGAAUAAUACUAUGCGAGUUUUAGUAAAAUCAGUUGAAAGUUAGAUGGCUUUUAGUACUGUUUUCUCUUAGUGUCAGUAUGACGUUAUC